Molecule: ribosomal RNA, 403 nt
Filed under: uncultured bacterium
Lineage: Bacteria
Description: partial 16S ribosomal RNA
Rfam family: Bacterial small subunit ribosomal RNA
Source: RNAcentral
GACGAACGCUGGCGGCGUGCCUAUUACAUGCAAGUCGAACGCAGUAGGGACGGGUGAGUAACACGUGGGUAACCUCCCAUCAGAGGGGAUAACACUUGGAAACAGGUGCUAAACCGAUACUGAUGGACGAACCCUCGGUGCAGUAGCUAGUUGGUGAGGUAACGGCUCCCCAGAGCCACGAUGCAUAGACGACCUGAGAGGGUGAUCGGCCACACGGGGACUGAGAGGCGGCCCAUACUCCUACGGGCGGCAGCAGUAGGAAAUCUUCGGCGAUGGACGAGAGUCUGACCGGGCAAAGCGGCGUGAUUGAAGAAGGUUUUCGGAUCGUAAAACGCUGUUGUUAGAGAAGCGGUAUCUAACCAGAAAGCCACGGCUAACUACGUGCCAGCAGCCGCGGUAAUAC